RNAcentral lists this unclassified non-coding RNA (24 nucleotides) under Chlamydomonas reinhardtii. Its description in RNAcentral is "small RNA Cre_4124". The record is from RNAcentral. Lineage: Eukaryota; Viridiplantae; Chlorophyta; Chlorophyceae; Chlamydomonadales; Chlamydomonadaceae.
UUUCGUCGGAAGGUCGCAAGAUCG